GUGCCCGCAGCCGCGAUAACACGUAGGUGGCAAGCGUUAUCCGGAAUUAUUGGGCGUAAAGCGCGCGUAGGCGGUUUCUUAAGUCUGAUGUGAAAGCCCACGGCUCAACCGUGGAGGGUCAUUGGAAACUGGGAAACUUGAGUACAGAAGAGGAAAGUGGAAUUCCAUGUGUAGCGGUGAAAUGCGCAGAGAUAUGGAGGAACACCAGUGGCGAAGGCGACUUUCUGGUCUGUAACUGACGCUGAUGUGCGAAAGCGUGGGGAUCAAACAGGAUUAGAUACCCUGGUAGUCC
RNAcentral lists this ribosomal RNA (292 nucleotides) under uncultured microorganism. RNAcentral's name for it is "partial 16S ribosomal RNA". It matches the Rfam family "Bacterial small subunit ribosomal RNA", at positions 505 to 796 of the family's 1533-position model. The record is from RNAcentral.